GGGACAUAUUUCUCCCUCCUUCUAGGAAUGAAUGAAGCACGAAACCUCCCCAGACCCAAAUUUGAAAGGUUCUAGGAGCAGCACUGUCUCACUGAAGCAGUACAAGUUUGAUUUCCAGAACAUCAGCCUGAGGACAGGAGCACCCACAAAAGAAAGGAAGCCAGGUGAGAAGCCAGGAAAGAGGAGAUAAUAUCUGGAUUCCAUUGGUGGAGAAGUUCAGUGCACUGAUAAUGAUACUUUUGACCUUGCACCUGCAAUCAAGACCAAUGUUGAAGGGUAGUUGCACAUGUGAAAUGUUGAAAUGUUGUGAAAUGACAGUGUUCUGCAUUCCCUGCAACAAAUGAACAGUCAGAAGAGUAGGAAGUCUUGUAAGUGAGGUAAUGUGUUUCUGAAGUGUGCUAUUUUAAAAGUAAAUACUGACCUCAUGGUCUUAGAAGUGCAAGAGAUGGAUUAGCUGUGAAAGAAAGGUCUUUCACCUUUGUCUCUUUAGUAAGAAUCCAGUAUGUAUGAGCAGAGACUGAAGGCUUAUUAAUUUGUAAACUUCUUCAUAAGACUUAUGUGAAGUGAAGCAAUGGACUCAGAAUCUAAUUUGGAUUAAAAGGGAUCUCUUGAGGUUAUCUG
Molecule: long non-coding RNA, 621 nt
Filed under: Cyanistes caeruleus (blue tit)
Lineage: Eukaryota; Metazoa; Chordata; Aves; Passeriformes; Paridae
Description: lncRNA (ENSCCEG00000015391.1)
Source: RNAcentral